This 106-nucleotide small RNA is filed under the name Marmota monax (woodchuck). Lineage: Eukaryota; Metazoa; Chordata; Mammalia; Rodentia; Sciuridae. The record is from RNAcentral.
ACCAGGCACAGUGGCGCAUGCCUAUAAUCCCAGUACUCAGGAGGCUGAGGCAGGAGGAUCACAAGUUUAAAGCCAGCCUGGGCAACUUAGUGAGACCCUGUCUCAA